CUACGGGAGGCUCCAGUGAGGAAUUUUGCGCAAUGGGGGAAACCCUGACGCAGCAACGCCGCGUGAGUGAUGAAGAUUUUCGGAUCGUAAAGCUCUGUCAAGCGGGAAAAAAUACUUUCGGUUAAUACCCGAAAGGACUGAUGGUACCGCUGGAGGAAGCACCGGCUAACUCCGUGCCAGCAGCCGCGGUAAUACGGAGGGUGCAAGCGUUGUUCGGAUUUACUGGGCGUAAAGAGCGUGUAGGCGGUUUAGCAAGUCAGAUGUGAAAGCCCUGGGCUCAACUCAGGAAGUGCAUUUGAAACUGCUAUACUAGAGUAUGGGAGAGGAGAUUGGAAUUCCCAGUGUAGAGGUGAAAUUCGUAGAUAUUGGGAGGAACACCGGUGGCGAAGGCGACUCUCUGGACCAAUACUGACGCUGAGACGCGAAAGCGUGGGGAGCAAACAGGAUUAGAUACCCCCGUAGUC
This 464-nucleotide ribosomal RNA is filed under the name uncultured bacterium. RNAcentral's name for it is "partial 16S ribosomal RNA". It matches the Rfam family "Bacterial small subunit ribosomal RNA", at positions 339 to 795 of the family's 1533-position model. The record is from RNAcentral.